AGCUCACUAGUCAAGUGCUCUUGCGCGGAUAAUGUACCGGGGCUAAGCAUAUUACCGAAACUGUGGAUGCGUAAGCAUGGUAGGAUAGCGUAAUUAACGCGAUGAAGGAUGACCGUAAGGACAUGUUGGAGCGUUAACUAGUGAGAAUUCCGGUAUGAGUAGCGAAAGAUAGGUGAGAAUCCUAUCCACCGAAUGAGUAAGGUUUCCCCCGGAAGGCUCGUCCGCGGGGGGUUAGUCGGGACCUAAGGCGAGGCUGAAAAGCGUAGUCGAUGGACAACAGGUUGAUAUUCCUGUACCGAUAUUUAAUUGCCGAAGGAAGGACGCAGAAGGAUAACACAGGCCACUAUUGGAUGUGGUUUUAAACAGUUAGUCUUCAUAAGAGUCAAAUGCUUUUAUGUUUAAGGAUAAGCUGUGAAUGUACCAAGUUUACUUGGAAAUUGUGUGAUUUCACGCUGCUGAAAAAAGUUUCGUAGGAAGAAAAUAUUGCCCGUACCGCAAACCGACACAGGUACUCAAGUGGAGAACACUAAGGUGAGCGAGUGAACUAUUGUUAAGGAACUCUGCAAAAUGAGUCCGUAACUUCGGAAGAAGGACUGCUGGUUUUAUACCAGCCGCAGCAAAUAGGCCCAAACAACUGUUUAUCAAAAACACAGGUUUCUGCAAAAUCGUAAGAUGAAGUAUAGGGGCUGACGCCUGCCCAGUGCUGGAAGGUUAAAAGGAGGACUUAGCUUCGGCGAAGGUCUUAAUUGAAGCCCCAGUGAACGGCGGCCGUAACUAUAACGGUCCUAAGGUAGCGAAAUUCCUUGUCGGGUAAGUUCCGACCCGCAUGAAAGGCGUAAUGAUUUGGGCGCUGUCUCAACAAUAGACUCGGUGAAAUUUAAAUUCCAGUGAAGAUGCUGGGUACCCGCGACAGGACGGAAAGACCCCGUGGAGCUUUACUGUAGCUUGAUAUUGAAUGUUUGUGCUGCAUGUGCAGGAUAGGUAGGAGACUUUGAAGUCGGAACGCUAGUUUCGAUUGAGUCACCCUUGAGAUACUACCUCUGUUGUAUGAACGUUCUAACUCUGAUCAGUUAUCCUGAUCGAAGACAGUGUCUGGCAGGCAGUUUGACUGGGGCGGUCGCCUCCUAAAAGAUAACGGAGGCGCUCAAAGGUUUGCUCAGAAUGGUUGGAAAUCAUUCGUAGCGUGUAAAGGCAUAAGCAAGCUUGACUGUGAGACUGACAAGUCGAGCAGGUACGAAAGUAGGACUUAGUGAUCCGGUGGUUCCGUAUGGAAGGGCCAUCGCUCAACGGACAAAAGCUACCCCGGGGAUAACAGGCUCAUCUCCCCCAAGAGUCCACAUCGACGGGGAGGUUUGGCACCUCGAUGUCGGCUCAUCGCAUCC
Molecule: ribosomal RNA, 1382 nt
Filed under: Oenococcus oeni
Lineage: Bacteria; Bacillati; Bacillota; Bacilli; Lactobacillales; Lactobacillaceae
Description: bacterial LSU rRNA
Rfam family: Bacterial large subunit ribosomal RNA
Source: RNAcentral